AGCAGCCGCGGUAAUUCCAGCUCCAAUAGCGUAUAUUAAAGUUGUUGCAGUUAAAAAGCUCGUAGUUGAAUUUCGAGAUCAAAUUGUUGGUCGUGCCUCGGUACGUACUGGCAUUAUUGAUUUCUCCCUUCUGAAGAACCACGAUGUCAUUAAUUUGGUGUCGUGGGGAAUCAGGACUGUUACUUUGAAAAAAUUAGAGUGUUUAAAGCAGGCUCACGCUUGAAUACAUUAGCAUGGAAUAAUGAAAUAGGACGUUUGAUUCUAUUUUGUUGGUUUCUAGGAUCGACGUAAUGAUUAAUAGGGAUAGUUGGGGGCAUUAGUAUUCAAUUGUCAGAGGUGAAAUUCUUGGAUUUAUUGAAGACUAACUACUGCGAAAGCAUUUGCCAAGGAUGUUUUCAUUAAUCAAGAACGAAAGUUAGGGGAUCGAAGACGAUCAGAUACCGUCGUAGUCCUAACCAUAAACUAU
RNAcentral lists this ribosomal RNA (466 nucleotides) under uncultured Glomus. Its description in RNAcentral is "SSU rRNA". It matches the Rfam family "Eukaryotic small subunit ribosomal RNA", at positions 569 to 1040 of the family's 1831-position model. The record is from RNAcentral. Lineage: Eukaryota; Fungi; Glomeromycota; Glomeromycetes; Glomerales; Glomeraceae.